CAGCAAUGGAGCGAGGCGCAGAUAUAGCGGAGUGCGCUUUGACUUGGGUGGAAGUCGUCAGGCUAGGAAGGGGUUAAGGUUUGAAGCUGGGUUUGGGGGGAGGAGUGAGGUUUCGCGGGCAGUAUAUAGGGUUUGGGGGGAGUGGUUUGGUAAGCAGG
This is a long non-coding RNA of Bufo bufo (common toad), 158 nucleotides long. RefSeq lists it as uncharacterized. Lineage: Eukaryota; Metazoa; Chordata; Amphibia; Anura; Bufonidae. The transcript has 3 exons. The record is from RefSeq and is a predicted model, not a curated record.